This 378-nucleotide ribosomal RNA is filed under the name uncultured eukaryote. Its description in RNAcentral is "partial 18S ribosomal RNA". It matches the Rfam family "Eukaryotic small subunit ribosomal RNA", at positions 592 to 976 of the family's 1831-position model. The record is from RNAcentral.
CAAUAGCGUAUAUUAAAGUUGUUGCAGUUAAAAAGCUCGUAGUUGGAUUUGUGGUUCGUCCCGCCGGCUGGGUCAUUGACUUUUGCUGUGCUGGUCGUCCAUCCUUGGGUGGAAUCUGUGUGGCAUUAGGUUGUCGCGCAGGGGAUGCCCAUCGUUUACUGUGAAAAAAUUAGAGUGUUCAAAGCAGGCUUAUGCCGUUGAAUAUAUUAGCAUGGAAUAAUGAUAUAGGACCUUGGUACUAUUUUGUUGGUUUGCGCACUGAGGUAAUGAUUAAUAGGGACAGUUGGGGGUAUUCGUAUUCCAUUGUAAGAGGUGAAAUUCUUGGAUUUCUAGAAGACGAACUACUGCGAAAGCAUUUACCAAGGAUGUUUUCAUUAA